AAGCCCAUGAGUUGGACAUAGAGCUCGAUAGUACUUGAAACUCUCCCAUAAUGAAUAUAAUUGUUCCCCAGGGAGAUGUUUGAACUCAAAGAUCUUAUCUCGAAGUUU
Small nucleolar RNA from Lycium barbarum (goji berry), 108 nucleotides. The record is from RefSeq and is a predicted model, not a curated record. NCBI's taxonomy places the organism in Eukaryota, Viridiplantae, Streptophyta, Magnoliopsida, Solanales, Solanaceae.